RNAcentral lists this long non-coding RNA (286 nucleotides) under Nicotiana benthamiana. RNAcentral's name for it is "long non-coding RNA (NBEN_LNC014498)". The record is from RNAcentral. Lineage: Eukaryota; Viridiplantae; Streptophyta; Magnoliopsida; Solanales; Solanaceae.
AGAGUACCACUUACAAGUUGUUUUUCUGUCCAAAGACUAAAAUCAAUGUUGUGCUAGGUAUCUUGUAAUGGGAAUGCCUAAUUUUGAAUCUAUAAUGUUAAAGUUCAAGUAUUUGUAAGCAUGUAUUCAGUAAUCCUUUUGUUCUAUUUUCAGUAAUCCUUUUGUUCUAUUUGGAAACAGCCUCUUUACCCCAGGGUAGAGGUAAGGUCUGCGUACAUACUACCCUCCCCAGACCCCUCUAUGUGGGAUUAUACUGGGUUGUUAUUGUUGUUGUUGUUGUUGUAUA